CUGUAGGGUGCGUCUAAACACUGCUAAGGAGUCCUUAGUGCACUAAGGACUUAUAACAUGCCACUAAGGACUAGAUGGAGAGCUGUUACAUGUAAUUUCUUUUCAUAUUAUGGUAGAGAAUGAUAUUUAAUGCAUAAAUUUCAAUUUUUGUAGAAAAUAAAUCAUAGAUAAAUAAGAUAUUCAACAUUAUUUAGACACGUGCCUGUAUUUCUUUGAUGUGCCGAAAAUCAAUGAACCGUUUGACACGUGUCUAAUUACAUAACUGAUUACACGGGGAAUCAUGCUAUUUGUUGUGUUUAAUGGACAAGAUUGGUAAAGUUGGAUAAUAAUAAAUGAAUUGUUGUUGAAAUACUAUUAAGGUGUUUUUAUUUCAGAAUGAAGAAGGUUUUUUU
RNAcentral lists this long non-coding RNA (392 nucleotides) under Mytilus galloprovincialis (Mediterranean mussel). Lineage: Eukaryota; Metazoa; Mollusca; Bivalvia; Mytilida; Mytilidae. The record is from RNAcentral.